RNAcentral lists this ribosomal RNA (540 nucleotides) under Emarginula sp. MNHN IM 2013-16712. Its description in RNAcentral is "partial large subunit ribosomal RNA". It matches the Rfam family "Bacterial large subunit ribosomal RNA", at positions 1816 to 2600 of the family's 2925-position model. The record is from RNAcentral. Lineage: Eukaryota; Metazoa; Mollusca; Gastropoda; Lepetellida; Fissurellidae.
GGCCCCUCGUGGGUGGUUUAUAAAUGGUUGUAUGGGGGGUCUGACCUGCCCGGUGAUGUAAAAGUUAAACGGCUGCGGUAAAGCGUACUAAGGUAGCAUAAUAAUUUGCUUAUUAAUUGUGGGCUUGUAUGAAUGGUUUAACGAGGGUUUAGCUGUCUUUUGAUGAAGUAUUAAGAAAUUAUGUUCUAGGUAAAAACUCUUAGAUUGGGUUGAGGGACGAUAAGACCCUGUUGAGCUUUAGUGGAGCUGGGGGUUCCAAGUGAGGUUUUGUUUAAGUGAUGUUGGUGUUUUCAGUGAUAUCUUUGAUUGGGGAAUUCGAGAAGGAGGAGAAGCCUUUUUAAGUGUAUUUAUUAAAGGUACUGAUGGGUAGUAGAUCUGGCGUAAUGCAGAUUAAAGUGUAAGUUACCGUAGGGAUAACAGCGUAAUCUUUCUGGAGAGUACUUAUUGAGAGAAGGGUUUACGACCUCGAUGUUGGAUUAAGAUAUCCUGAGGGUGUAGAGGCUUUCAAAGGUUAGUUUGUUCAACUAUUAAAAUCUUACA